GACGUAGGGCGCGAGCGUUGUCCGGAUUUAUUGGGCGUAAAGAGCUCGUAGGCGGCUUGUCGUGUCGACUGUGAAAACCCGCGGCUCAACUGCGGGCCUGCAGCCGAUACGGGCAGGCUAGAGUUCGGUAGGGGAGACUGGAAUUCCUGGUGUAGCGGUGAAAUGCGCAGAUAUCAGGAGGAACACCGGUGGCGAAGGCGGGUCUCUCGAACGCAACUGACGCUGAGACGCGAAAGCGUGGGGAGCAAACAGG
This 253-nucleotide ribosomal RNA is filed under the name uncultured bacterium. Its description in RNAcentral is "partial 16S ribosomal RNA". It matches the Rfam family "Bacterial small subunit ribosomal RNA", at positions 524 to 776 of the family's 1533-position model. The record is from RNAcentral.